GCUAUGGCGACGCGGAGGGACAUUA
RNAcentral lists this ribosomal RNA (25 nucleotides) under Trichoderma polysporum. RNAcentral describes it as "partial 18S ribosomal RNA". The record is from RNAcentral. Lineage: Eukaryota; Fungi; Ascomycota; Sordariomycetes; Hypocreales; Hypocreaceae.